Molecule: unclassified non-coding RNA, 149 nt
Organism: Pongo abelii (Sumatran orangutan)
Lineage: Eukaryota; Metazoa; Chordata; Mammalia; Primates; Hominidae
Rfam family: Metazoan signal recognition particle RNA
About the family: The signal recognition particle (SRP) is a universally conserved ribonucleoprotein.
Source: Ensembl
GCUGGGCAUGGUGGUGCGUGCCUGUAGUCCCAGCUACUCAGGAGGCCGAGGCAAGAGAAUUGCUUGAACCUGGGAGGCCAGAGGUUGCAGUGAGCUGAGAUGGCGCCACUGCACUCCAGCCUGGGUGACAGAGCGAGACUCUGUCUCAA